GGGGAUUUAGCUCAGUGGCACAGCAUGUGCCUCAAAAGCACAAGGUCCAGUGUUUGAUCCCUGAUACCCCC
RNAcentral lists this transfer RNA (71 nucleotides) under Heterocephalus glaber (naked mole-rat). It matches the Rfam family "tRNA". Rfam says of the family: Transfer RNA (tRNA) molecules are approximately 80 nucleotides in length. Their secondary structure includes four short double-helical elements and three loops (D, anti-codon, and T loops). Further hydrogen bonds mediate the characteristic L-shaped molecular structure. tRNAs have two regions of fundamental functional importance: the anti-codon, which is responsible for specific mRNA codon recognition, and the 3' end, to which the tRNAs corresponding amino acid is attached (by aminoacyl-tRNA synthetases). tRNAs cope with the degeneracy of the genetic code in two manners: having more than one tRNA (with a specific anti-codon) for a particular amino acid; and 'wobble' base-pairing, i.e. permitting non-standard base-pairing at the 3rd anti-codon position. The record is from Rfam by way of RNAcentral. Lineage: Eukaryota; Metazoa; Chordata; Mammalia; Rodentia; Bathyergidae.